Molecule: non-coding RNA, 21 nt
Organism: Caenorhabditis elegans
Lineage: Eukaryota; Metazoa; Nematoda; Chromadorea; Rhabditida; Rhabditidae
Source: Ensembl
UAUUCGACUCAUAAUUUCAAA